CAAGUCGAACGCGAAAGCCCCUUCGGGGGUAAGUAGAGUGGCGUCCGGGUGAGUAACACGUAGGUAAUCUACCUCUGGGUGGGGAAUAACGUCUCGAAAGAGACGCUAAUACCGCAUAAUGCAGCGGCACCUAAUGGUGAAUAGUUGUUAAAGCGGGGGACCUUCGGGCCUCGCGCCUGGAGAGGAGCCUGCGGCAGAUUAGCUAGUUGGUGAGGUAAUGGCUCACCAAGGCGACGAUCUGUAGCUGGUCUGAGAGGACGGCCAGCCACACUGGCACUGACACACGGGCCAGACUCCUACGGGAGGCAGCAGUGGGGAAUUUUGGGCAAUGGGCGCAAGCCUGACCCAGCAACGCCGCGUGAGGGAGGAAAUCCUUCGGGAUGUAAACCUCACAAGCAAGGGAAGAGCGCGCAGGGGUGAAUACCCCCUGCGUCCGACGGUACCUUGCGUAAGCCACGGCUAACUACGUGCCAGCAGCCGCGGUAAUACGUAGGUGGCAAGCGUUGUUCGGAAUUAUUGGGCGUAAAGGGCGCGUAGGCGGUCUUGUAAGUCAGCUGUGAAAGCCCGGGGCUCAACCCCGGAGGGUCGGCUGAUACUGCAGGACUGGAGUACGGAAGAGGUAGCUGGAAUUCCCGGCGUAGCGGUGAAAUGCGUAGAUAUCGGGAGGAACACCUGAGGCGAAGGCGGGCUACUGGGCCGAUACUGACGCUGAUGCGCGAAAGCCAGGGGAGCAAACGGGAUUAGAUACCCCGGUAGUCCUGGCCCUAAACGAUGGAUACUUGGUGUGUCGGGUCUUCAAGUCCCGGC
This 807-nucleotide ribosomal RNA is filed under the name uncultured Pseudomonadota bacterium. Its description in RNAcentral is "bacterial SSU rRNA". It matches the Rfam family "Bacterial small subunit ribosomal RNA", at positions 58 to 842 of the family's 1533-position model. Lineage: Bacteria; Pseudomonadati; Pseudomonadota. The record is from RNAcentral.